CUUCAAUGAAGAUUCGAUGACGAGUCUGACAGGAGGUGGACUCUUUGUUCAGGUGUUCUACUCUGCUGCGUUCUGCAGACCAGAAUUCAGACUCCUGGCUCAAAGUAACUUCCUAAAGAAGACGUAGAGGCAUUUGUCUGAGAAGG
Molecule: small nucleolar RNA, 146 nt
Organism: Notamacropus eugenii (tammar wallaby)
Lineage: Eukaryota; Metazoa; Chordata; Mammalia; Diprotodontia; Macropodidae
Source: Ensembl